Mus spicilegus (steppe mouse) is the source of this 1584-nucleotide long non-coding RNA. Lineage: Eukaryota; Metazoa; Chordata; Mammalia; Rodentia; Muridae. The record is from Ensembl.
GUGAAUUUGGAAUUAUAUAUCAAACAGAACUGUGUUCAUAGUAGCCCUGAGACAUUACCUGGGUCAUACAUCCCAAUGUGACUUAAUGCAGUCUUGGGUGUUUAAGAGGGAGGCAGAGAAGACUUGACACAGAAAAGAAUGAAGCAACGUGACAGCAGACACAGAAAUUGUACUGGUGCUACCAUUAGCCACGAGGUGAUGGCAGGUACUAGAUGCUGACAAAGGAAAAGACAAAGAGUUCUUGCCUAGAUCUUCAUGGAGUGCUGUUCUGCAGACACCCCAGAUUCAGCCUAGUGUACUGCAUUUGAAUUCUGUCCCCCAGAGCUAAGAGACAAAUUCAUGCUUGUUUGUUUAGAAUUGGGCAAGGAUAUAUUUUAUUUUUUCACAAAAAUAUUUUUUUCCUUAACUUAAAAACAGUUUCAGAAAGCAAUCUUCAGGUUGUUAUAAUUCAUUACACAUUUUACAAAUAGUAGAGAGAAGCAGACAAUAGGAUGACAGAGUGUGAAGCAACAGAGCCCUCCCUUCAGAAGCUUAACUCUGUCCUUCAGCACCUUAAAGGUGGGGUUCCUGCUGAUCUUCCCGUUGAAGAUGGCCAGGAGCUCCUCCUCCGAUGUGUGAUGGUCACUCAUUACCGCAUGGUACUCAGCUAUAACCUUUUCUUUAGCUUCUUGACUGACACGUUGUUCAGUCUGGAGCCUGUUGCAGAACAGCUUUAAUGGUCCCUUUCCAGUUGAAUGAAUUUACCUUUUGAUGGAGCCUCGUGGUCCUCCGGCUCUCCCUCUUCAGGUUGCCCUGGCAACUUCAUCUUUUUUUUUUCCUUGUAAUCAGACUCAACUUCUGAGUGCUUCUGCUGCUUCUGUUUUCCUGCUGCUGUCUUGGUCUGCCCCUCAUUAGCAUCCUACCCAGGGUCCCCAGGUCUGUCUGCCCCCUCUUCAGAAGCCUGUCCACUAUGGGCUCUCUUCUUCUCUGGUGUGCCGUUGGCAUCGGUGGCGUCCUCCCCACCAGCCUCAUGUUCGGUCUUCUGGCCCUUUUUGUGCUUCUUUGGCUUUUGGCCCCUCUGGUGUUCCUGGUGGUUUUCUAACUUUAGCUCUUUCUUCUUGUUUUUCUGUCGUUCCUUCUUCCUUUCUCUUUUAUUAUUAUUAUUAUUAUUAUUAUUAUUAUUAUUAUUAUUUAUUAUUUGCCUCUGCUCUUCUGUGGUGCCAUUUGAUUUUGCAGAUGGAACCUUAGUGGGGAUCUCUGCAUGUGGUUUGGCUAUAUGGCUGAGUGGCUUGGGGUGGCUGAGCGAACCGGUGGCGGUGCUGUGCUGGGCGGCUACGGCUCCACAUGCUCCCGACCGCCGGUUGAGACCGUUGGCGGGGUCGACUGAAAGGAUUGUAGAAGAGUUGGAGUCAUCAUUGAAUGACGUUUCCUGUGCACCAGUCUCAUCUCCAUAUAACACAGAUAAUGACUUCUUAUGUUAAAGGGUAUGAAUCAGUUACCUGAUGAGAGGACUUUAGUUAUACAGUCAGAUGUCAGGAAACACUCAGAGGAAAGCACUCUUCAUCACAGAAUUAAAUAAAAAGCCUGUUAUCAAGAGUUAUCCCA